CCAACCUCCUCUCCUCUCCCAACCCACUCGCCGCCAGCCUCCCUUCCACCUCCUCUCCUUCGUCCGUCCGCCCCCAUGCCCCCCGCCGCGUGGGCCACGCUGGCGGCCGCGUGCCUGCCGCUCCCCAUCUCGCGCCGUUGCCCGCCUAUGUCAUCGGCAAGUUGCCCCCGCGCUCCAAUCGACACACUACGAUCCGGACAGCCGCUGCUAGCACUCCAACAGAUCCACCCGGCCGUCCGGCGGAGGCGAAGCGGCGACCAUGGAGGAGGAGCUGCGUGCGCUACCCCGCGACCUCGACGCGCUCAAGCAGCUCCCCGACCCAGCCUCCAUCGACUGGAUGCGAGAUCGCGUGGUGAAGAUGAUGGGCCCGUCCGGCGCCGCUGCCGCCACCCGAUCGAAGAUCAAGGACAUGCACGGAGGUUGUGGACAGCAACCCCUACAGCAGGCUCAUGGCGCUGCAGCGGAUGGGGAUCGUUGACAACUACGAGCGCAUCCGCGACUACUCUGUCGCCAUUGUGAUAAGCAUCUCGCUCUUAUCUAGCUGUGAGGCGUUACUUAGAAAGCAAUUCGAGUUGGCAAUUGGCAUUGAGCAGACCUGUAACUUUCCUCUUUGAGUAGAGGACAUUAGUUGGUAUACUGUGAAGUUCUCAAAUGGAAAUCAUGGAUCAAGCAAAUAUGUAAAGGGUAGUGAGUAGAUGGAGUGUAGAUGAUUACUCUUCACUUGUGUCUUUGCAUACUAGGCUUUCCUUGAUGAAAUAUCGUGGUUAACAACAUGUACUCAACCCCACAGGAGUUUGAUGUCAAUGCAGUAAUAGCCACAUAAUCAGAUAAUACAUGUACAAGGUUGGGGAGGCACGGUCGGCGUUGGUGUUCUGGUGCAGGUCACCUCACCGGACAUGCACAAUAUAUCAUCUUCAUAUUGUCUACCAAAUGAAAUCUUGGAUUCAUAAAUGGGAGAAGCACAUAAGGGAGAAGAAGAUGAUUGCAAGGAUGGAGAGGGAGCAAAUCAUUUGGAGGGAUAGAAUGCCACUAUUUGGUGUUUUUAUGCAUUUUUGUUUGCUUUCAACUGUGUUUGCACUAGCAGGGAAUAAGUGAUUAGGCAAUAAGUGUAGAUGUAUGGAUAUGCUCUAAUGCUCCUUGUUAAUGAUAUGUAAUGUUGCUGGGUUAUUACAAAUCUGGGCUUGUUUUAGUUGUUAGAAUUGUAUGCAUAAAAUGGAAUUGAUGGAUUUUA
Triticum dicoccoides is the source of this 1231-nucleotide RNA transcript. RefSeq lists it as uncharacterized. Lineage: Eukaryota; Viridiplantae; Streptophyta; Magnoliopsida; Poales; Poaceae. The record is from RefSeq and is a predicted model, not a curated record. The transcript has 4 exons.